UGGGGGAUAUUGCACAAUGGGCGAAAGCCUGAUGCAGCGACGCCGCGUGGGGGAUGAAGGCCUUCGGGUUGGAAACUUCUUUUGCUCUGAACAAGGCGCACCAUGGGGAGUGUUGAGUGUAGGGGUUGAUUAGCGCCGGCUAACUACGUGGCAGCAGCCGCGGUAAUACGUAGGGCGCGAGCGUUGUCCGGAAUUAUUGGGCGUAAAGGGCUUGUAGGUGGCUGGUUGCGUCUGUCGUGAAAGCUCAUGGCUUAACUGUGGGUUUGCGGUGGGUACUGGCUGGCUUUAGUGCAGUAGGGGAGGCUGGAAUUCCUGGUGUAGCGGUGGAAUGCGCAGCUAUCAGGAGGAAUACCGGUGGCGAAGGCGGGUCUCUGGGCUGUUACUGACACUGAGGAGCGAAAGCAUGGGGAGCGAACAGG
This 419-nucleotide ribosomal RNA is filed under the name bacterium. RNAcentral describes it as "partial 16S ribosomal RNA". It matches the Rfam family "Bacterial small subunit ribosomal RNA", at positions 355 to 776 of the family's 1533-position model. The record is from RNAcentral.